RNAcentral lists this ribosomal RNA (167 nucleotides) under uncultured bacterium. RNAcentral describes it as "partial 16S ribosomal RNA". It matches the Rfam family "Bacterial small subunit ribosomal RNA", at positions 1334 to 1500 of the family's 1533-position model. The record is from RNAcentral.
GCUAGUAAUCGCGAAUCAGAAUGUCGCGGUGAAUACGUUCCCGGGUCUUGUACACACCGCCCGUCACACCACGAGAGUUUACAACACCCGAAGUCAGUGGCCUAACCGCAAGGAGGGAGCUGCCUAAGGUGGGGUAGAUGAUUGGGGUGAAGUCGUAACAAGGUACC